This 205-nucleotide ribosomal RNA is filed under the name uncultured bacterium. RNAcentral's name for it is "partial 16S ribosomal RNA". It matches the Rfam family "Bacterial small subunit ribosomal RNA", at positions 524 to 725 of the family's 1533-position model. The record is from RNAcentral.
UACGUAGGGGGCAAGCGUUGUCCGGAUUUAUUGGGCGUAAAGAGCUCGUAGGCGGUUUUGUCGCGUCUGCUGUGAAAUCCCGAGGCUCAACCUCGGGUCUGCAGUGGGUACGGGGCAGACUAGAGUGUGGUAGGGGAGAUUGGAAUUCCUGGGUGUAGCGGUGGAAUGCGCAGAUAUCAGGAGGAACACCGAUGGCGAAGGCAGA